UGUAGAUCUUUAGAUUUGGGGACUGCUGUGCUUUUUUAUCAGUCGGCUUUCCCUUUUUUUAAUAUUAUUCAAGGUCUAUAUGACUUUCACAAUCUCAUAAAUGUCGAAUGUAUGUUAAAAUGAAACAAAUAUAUACAACUUUCAGCAACGGAUCUCUUGGCUCUCGCAUCGAUGAAGAACGCAGCGAAAUGCGAUAAGUAAUGUGAAUUGCAGAAUUCAGUGAAUCAUCGAAUUUUUGAACGCAUCUUGCGCUCCUUGGUAUUCCAAGGAGCAUGCCUGUUUGAGUGUCAUCAAGUUCUCAACCACAUAAUUUUUGUGGCUUGGAUCGGUGGGGUGUUGCCGGCUGUUAUGGUAGGCUCUCCUUAAAUACAUAAGUGGUAUUUAGAAAAGCUACUUGUUGGGUGUUAUAAAUUGAUAAUACACCUUCUGGCAAUUCUACUAUGCUGCUUCUAACACUUUGUUUUUGAUGAUUUUGACCUCAAAUCAGGUAGGACUACCCGCUGAACUUAAGCAUAUCAAUAAGCGGAGGA
This 530-nucleotide ribosomal RNA is filed under the name uncultured Inocybe. Its description in RNAcentral is "eukaryotic LSU rRNA". The stretch from base 137 to 290 matches the Rfam family "5.8S ribosomal RNA". The record is from RNAcentral. Lineage: Eukaryota; Fungi; Basidiomycota; Agaricomycetes; Agaricales; Cortinariaceae.